UGCUAAUACCGGAUAACAACAAGAUGAUGCCUAUCAACUGUUUAAAAGAAUGGUUCUGCUAUCACUCUUGGAUGGACCUGCGGUGCAUUAGCUAGUUGGUAGGGUAACGGCCUACCAAGGCGAUGAUGCAUAGCCGAGUUGAGAGACUGAUCGGCCACAUUGGGACUGAGACACGGCCCAAACUCCUAGGGAGGCAGCAGAC
This 202-nucleotide ribosomal RNA is filed under the name uncultured Lactobacillus sp. RNAcentral's name for it is "partial 16S ribosomal RNA". It matches the Rfam family "Bacterial small subunit ribosomal RNA", at positions 161 to 354 of the family's 1533-position model. The record is from RNAcentral. Lineage: Bacteria; Bacillati; Bacillota; Bacilli; Lactobacillales; Lactobacillaceae.